This 443-nucleotide ribosomal RNA is filed under the name uncultured bacterium. Its description in RNAcentral is "partial 16S ribosomal RNA". It matches the Rfam family "Bacterial small subunit ribosomal RNA", at positions 338 to 795 of the family's 1533-position model. The record is from RNAcentral.
CCUACGGGUGGCAGCAGUGGGGAAUAUUGGGCAAUGGGCGCAAGCCUGACCCAGCAACGCCGCGUGAAGGAAGAAGGCUGUCGGGUUGUAGACUUCUUUUCUCAGGGACGAAGCAAGUGACGGUAGCUGAGGAAUAAGCCACGGAUAACUACGUGCAAGCAGGCGCGGUAAUACGUAGGUGGCAAGCGUUAUCCGGAUUUACUGGGUGUAAAGGGCGUGUAGGCGGGACUGCAAGGCAGAUGUGAAAACCACGGGCUCAACCUGUGGCCUGCAUUUGAAACUGUAGUUCUUGAGUACUGGAGAGGCAGACGGAAUUCCUAGUGUAGCGGUGAAAUGCGUAGAUAUUAGGAGGAACACCAGUGGCGAAGGCGGUCUGCUGGACAGCAACUGACGCUGAGGCGCGAAAGCGUGGGGAGCAAACAGGAUUAGAUACCCUUGUAGUC